Molecule: ribosomal RNA, 429 nt
Filed under: Chloroflexota bacterium
Lineage: Bacteria; Bacillati; Chloroflexota
Description: Chloroflexi bacterium partial 16S ribosomal RNA
Rfam family: Bacterial small subunit ribosomal RNA
Source: RNAcentral
UGGGGAAUAUUGCACAAUGGGCGCAAGCCUGAUGCAGCCAUGCCGCGUGUAUGAAGAAGGCCUUCGGGUUGUAAAGUACUUUCAGUCGGGAGGAAGGUGGUAAGGUUAAUAACCUUGGCAAUUGACGUUACCGACAGAAGAAGCACCGGCUAACUCCGUGCCAGCAGCCGCGGUAAUACGGAGGGUGCAAGCGUUAAUCGGAAUUACUGGGCGUAAAGCGCACGCAGGCGGUUGAUUGAGUCAGAUGUGAAAUCCCCGGGCUUAACCCGGGAAUUGCAUCUGAUACUGGUCAGCUAGAGUCGUGUAGAGGGGGGUAGAAUUCCAUGUGUAGCGGUGAAAUGCGUAGAGAUGUGGAGGAAUACCGGUGGCGAAGGCGGCCCCCUGGACAAAGACUGACGCUCAGGUGCGAAAGCGUGGGGAGCAAACAGG